Peromyscus eremicus (cactus mouse) is the source of this 794-nucleotide long non-coding RNA. RefSeq lists it as uncharacterized. The transcript has 3 exons. The record is from RefSeq and is a predicted model, not a curated record. NCBI's taxonomy places the organism in Eukaryota, Metazoa, Chordata, Mammalia, Rodentia, Cricetidae.
AUCCUUUCAAAUAGUGCCACCCCCUGGUGACUAAGCAUCCAAAUCUAUGAACCUAUGGGGGCCGUUCUCAUUCCAACCACCACGUGACAGAAACAACUAAAAGAAGGAGAGGGUUACUUUGGGUCAAAGUCCAGGGGGUACAAAUCCAUCACGGUUGGAAAGGCCUGGCAGCUCAGUCCACAGCCACAGAAACUUGCAGUAUCACCUUUACAUCGUGGCAGAUCAGAAAGCAGAACUCGGGCCAACACUGGAAGAAGAGCCGCAGCAGUCACUUCACGGCAAGAUGGAUUGCAGCACAAACCGAUCUCCUUCCAUUCCGCGUCCCAAACCGCAGCUCAAUUAGUUUCUAAAUAAAUGUCAAUGGCUUCUCUGGGAGGCUCUGAACGGGAGGCGUAAGUAUCGGUGGCCAGCCGCAGAAAGAGCCUGUGCUAGCUGUUCCCCUAAAAGGACUCAGCCUUCCUGCCGAGACGCACUGCGCUUCCUGAGAGGCAUCCGUGCCUAGGCAUGCUCUGAACACUGUUGUUGCAAAGUGCUGUGAGAGACCAAAAGAAGAUGGAACCUGUUGUCAAGAUCCCCGUGUCGUAAGAAAUGGAGAUGAGCAUGUAAGCAGAGAGAGGCAAGAGUGUGAAGCCACAGAGGAAAAGGAGGUGUCUCGGGAACAAGAAGAGAAGCCUUACAAGACAAGGGCUCUGCCAACACCGGUCUUGAACUUCCGGCCUCCACAGGUGUUUGUCCUUCGGCCCACCCAGUCUGAGAGUCCCUAAUAAAUUAAAAAUUUAAACAUAAAUCAACAA